GGGGCCGUCGUCUAGCCCGGAAGGACGCCGCCCUUACGAGCCCUGAGCUGGGAGAGGCGGUAGUCCGGGGUUCAAAUCCCCGCGGCCCCA
Molecule: transfer RNA, 90 nt
Filed under: Ignicoccus hospitalis KIN4/I
Lineage: Archaea; Thermoproteati; Thermoproteota; Thermoprotei; Desulfurococcales; Desulfurococcaceae
Rfam family: tRNA
About the family: Transfer RNA (tRNA) molecules are approximately 80 nucleotides in length. Their secondary structure includes four short double-helical elements and three loops (D, anti-codon, and T loops). Further hydrogen bonds mediate the characteristic L-shaped molecular structure. tRNAs have two regions of fundamental functional importance: the anti-codon, which is responsible for specific mRNA codon recognition, and the 3' end, to which the tRNAs corresponding amino acid is attached (by aminoacyl-tRNA synthetases). tRNAs cope with the degeneracy of the genetic code in two manners: having more than one tRNA (with a specific anti-codon) for a particular amino acid; and 'wobble' base-pairing, i.e. permitting non-standard base-pairing at the 3rd anti-codon position.
Source: Rfam by way of RNAcentral